This 125-nucleotide ribosomal RNA is filed under the name Marasmiaceae sp. RNAcentral describes it as "partial small subunit ribosomal RNA". It matches the Rfam family "Eukaryotic small subunit ribosomal RNA", at positions 1657 to 1779 of the family's 1831-position model. The record is from RNAcentral. Lineage: Eukaryota; Fungi; Basidiomycota; Agaricomycetes; Agaricales; Marasmiaceae.
CCUUUGUACACACCGCCCGUCGCUACUACCGAUUGAAUGGCUUAGUGAGGUCUUCGGAUUGGCUUUGGGAAGCGGGCAACCGCAUCCUGUCGCUGAGAAGUUGAUCAAACUUGGUCAUUUAGAGG